This is a long non-coding RNA of Dermacentor silvarum, 291 nucleotides long. RefSeq lists it as uncharacterized. The record is from RefSeq and is a predicted model, not a curated record. The transcript is spliced from 3 exons. Lineage: Eukaryota; Metazoa; Arthropoda; Arachnida; Ixodida; Ixodidae.
AUGACGGCUACAAAAACCAAAGCGUCGGCGGCUUCAAAAGCGAGAAAUGGCUUGUGUGCCGAAGAUUGCCGUGGUUCUUUUGGCCAUUAUUGCAGCAGAAGAACGGUGCGAUGCAAGUGGCGAAGACGGCCAGGUUCAGCGAGAGAAUCCCUGGAAAACGUUUUGGAAAGAACAUAAUCUUUUAUGGACGUCCAGAACAUCUAAUUUUCUCUGCUCGAGUUGUAAACGGCAAGAACUGCAAUGCGCUAAUGACUCUGGCGUCAUGCUCAACCACUUAGAGCUCUGGGAAGG